GGCCACUGUCGAAAGACGUCGAAAGAGGCGCUGAAUCGCGCUCUCAAGGCGGUAGCGCGGGUUCGAAUCCCGUCGGGGCUA
This 81-nucleotide transfer RNA is filed under the name Microlunatus antarcticus. Its description in RNAcentral is "Friedmanniella antarctica tRNA-OTHER". The record is from RNAcentral. Lineage: Bacteria; Bacillati; Actinomycetota; Actinomycetes; Propionibacteriales; Propionibacteriaceae.